GCGCUGCUAUCUGCAGUCGAGCGGACAGAAGGGAGCUUGCUCCCGGAUGUUAGCGGCGGACGGGUGAGUAACACGUGGGUAACCUGCCUGUAAGACUGGGAUAACUCCGGGAAACCGGAGCUAAUACCGGAUAGUUCCUUGAACCGCAUGGUUCAAGGAUGAAAGACGGUUUCGGCUGUCACUUACAGAUGGACCCGCGGCGCAUUAGCUAGUUGGUGAGGUAACGGCUCACCAAGGCGACGGUGCGUAGCCGACCUGAGAGGGUGAUCGGCCACACUGGGACUGAGACACGGCCCAGACUCCUACGGGAGGCAGCAGUAGGGAAUCUUCCGCAAUGGACGAAAGUCUGACGGAGCAACGCCGCGUGAGUGAUGAAGGUUUUCGGAUCGUAAAGCUCUGUUGUUAGGGAAGAACAAGUGCAAGAGUAACUGCUUGCACCUUGACGGUACCUAACCAGAAAGCCACGGCUAACUACGUGCCAGCAGCCGCGGUAAUACGUAGGUGGCAAGCGUUGUCCGGAAUUAUUGGGCGUAAAGGGCUCGCAGGCGGUUUCUUAAGUCUGAUGUGAAAGCCCCCGGCUCAACCGGGGAGGGUCAUUGGAAACUGGGAAACUUGAGUGCAGAAGAGGAGAGUGGAAUUCCACGUGUAGCGGUGAAAUGCGUAGAGAUGUGGAGGAACACCAGUGGCGAAGGCGACUCUCUGGUCUGUAACUGACGCUGAGGAGCGAAAGCGUGGGGAGCGAACAGGAUUAGAUACCCUGGUAGUCCACGCCGUAAACGAUGAGUGCUAAGUGUUAGGGGGUUUCCGCCCCUUAGUGCUGCAGCUAACGCAUUAAGCACUCCGCCUGGGG
This 850-nucleotide ribosomal RNA is filed under the name uncultured bacterium. RNAcentral describes it as "bacterial SSU rRNA". It matches the Rfam family "Bacterial small subunit ribosomal RNA", at positions 44 to 878 of the family's 1533-position model. The record is from RNAcentral.